UACUUUGGUGGCGACCGGCGUACGGGUGAGUAACGCGUAUGCAACCUACCCUGUACUGGGGGAUAGCCCGGAGAAAUUCGGAUUAAUACCCCAUAAAGAUAUUUGGAGGCAUCUUCAGAUAUUUAAAGUUUCGACGGUACGGGAUGGGCAUGCGUAACAUUAGCUUGUUGGUAAGGUAACGGCUUACCAAGGCUACGAUGUUUAGGGGUCCUGAGAGGGUGAUCCCCCACACUGGUACUGAGACACGGACCAG
RNAcentral lists this ribosomal RNA (253 nucleotides) under uncultured bacterium. RNAcentral's name for it is "partial 16S ribosomal RNA". It matches the Rfam family "Bacterial small subunit ribosomal RNA", at positions 81 to 334 of the family's 1533-position model. The record is from RNAcentral.